Molecule: unclassified non-coding RNA, 277 nt
Filed under: Hevea brasiliensis (rubber tree)
Lineage: Eukaryota; Viridiplantae; Streptophyta; Magnoliopsida; Malpighiales; Euphorbiaceae
Source: RNAcentral
AUCAUCAGAAGUGGCCUUCGCCCAGAUAUGUCCAUCAAGACUACUCCCAAUGCUGUCAGUGGAAUCUGGACGACAACCAUUGCAAUAGUCCCAACAGUACCAGAGAAACCAGCUGAUACAAAUAUAGAACUUGCAUAAAAUGCAAUGCCNNNUCCCCUCCAAAUUGUUGCAGUACCAUCAGGCCCACUGCAACAAUGAGUGAAUGAGCAUAUUUCCACCGGAACAAUUCGAAUAUGCCUGCUUCAGAAUGCUGUUGAAGGGUUUCUGUGUAAUCUUU